RNAcentral lists this long non-coding RNA (178 nucleotides) under Ictidomys tridecemlineatus (thirteen-lined ground squirrel). RNAcentral's name for it is "lncRNA (ENSSTOG00000030539.1)". Lineage: Eukaryota; Metazoa; Chordata; Mammalia; Rodentia; Sciuridae. The record is from RNAcentral.
CAUGCAUCUAGCUAACCAGUACAGAGAAACACUAUGUUGGCUCAUAAUCAAGACACAGGAAAUUCAGAACUCAACUUGUACUCAGCUGGUGACCUUAGGUAUGUAAGUGGGAAGAGGAGAAGAAUCAAACCAGUGUUCUUGUAAAAGCUCAACUUCUAAUCAGCUCUGGGUUCCUGGC